RNAcentral lists this non-coding RNA (32 nucleotides) under Rattus norvegicus (Norway rat). The record is from RNAcentral. Lineage: Eukaryota; Metazoa; Chordata; Mammalia; Rodentia; Muridae.
AAUAAAGACCUAAGAAAUUUCACUGAUAAUCC